This 218-nucleotide ribosomal RNA is filed under the name uncultured bacterium. RNAcentral's name for it is "partial 16S ribosomal RNA". It matches the Rfam family "Bacterial small subunit ribosomal RNA", at positions 328 to 539 of the family's 1533-position model. The record is from RNAcentral.
ACGCUCGACACCUACGGGAGGCAGCAGUGAGGAAUAUUGGUCAAUGGGCGCUAGCCUGAACCAGCCAAGUAGCGUGAAGGAUGAAGGCUCUAUGGGUCGUAAACUUCUUUUAUAUAAGAAUAAAGUGCAGUAUGUAUACUGUUUUGUAUGUAUUAUAUGAAUAAGGAUCGGCUAACUCCGUGCUAGCAGCCGUGGUAAUCUGAGCGGGCUGGCAAGGC